GACGAACGCUGGCGGCGUGCUUAACACAUGCAAGUCGAACGGUGAAGCGCCUUCCUUUUUGGUGGGUGUGGAUGAGUGGCGAACGGGGGAGUAACACGUGAGUAACCUGCCCCCUUCUUCUGGAUAACCGCAUGAAAGUGUGGCUAAUACGGGAUAUUCUGGGUCUGUCGCAUGAUGGGUCUGGGAAAGAUAUUGUUUCGGGGGGGGAGGGGCUCGCGGCCUAUCAGCUUGUUGGUGGGGUGAUGGCCUACCAAGGCGGUGACGGGUAGCCGGCCUGAGAGGGUGGACGGUCACACUGGGACUGAGACACGGCCCAGACUCCUACGGGAGGCAGCAGUGGGGAAUAUUGCACAAUGGGCGCAAGCCUGAUGCAGCGACGCCGCGUGAGGGAUGGAGGCCUUCGGGUUGUGAACCUCUUUCGCCAGUGAAGCAGGCCUGCCUCGUUUGUGGGUGGGUUGACGGUAGCUGGAUAAGAAGCGCCGGCUAACUACGUG
This 494-nucleotide ribosomal RNA is filed under the name uncultured bacterium. Its description in RNAcentral is "partial 16S ribosomal RNA". It matches the Rfam family "Bacterial small subunit ribosomal RNA", at positions 28 to 507 of the family's 1533-position model. The record is from RNAcentral.